UUUGGCACAGAUCGGGACAGUAACCACUCAGCCAACCCAGAGGUGCAGGAUUGGUGGGAAACCCCCCAACAGUUUAGACCCAAUGCCAGCUUACUAAGCUGUGGUUCCCUGACUAUGACCUCAGAUCAGACGUGGUGACCCAUUGAAUUUAAGCAUGAUACUAAGCAAAGGGAAAAAACUUACCAGGAUUCCCUCAUUAACAGCGAGUGAAAAUGGAAGAGCCCUGCACCGAAUCCACAUCUGGCGGUGUGCACUGGAAAUGUGGCAUAAAGUCGCAGAUAUUGUUAGGCCAGUAUUAGCCAGUGGCACAUCAGAAUCGAGUCUUCUCAUUAUCAUGUUACUUCGGAAUGUAGCACAAAGAGGUGGCAAACUCCAUCUAAAGCUAAAUACAGGCACAAGUCUGAUUGCCAACAAGUACCAUAAAGGAAAGUUGAAAAGAACUUUGAAGAGAGAGUUCAAGAGGGUGUGAAACCAUUGAGAAGUAAAUGGGCGGGGUUGGUGCAGUCUGCCCGGAGCAUUCAACAUGUCGGAUAGGACCCGAAAGAUGGUUAAUUAUGCCUGUGCAAGGGGAAGCAAGAGAAAACUAUGGUGCAGGUCUGUAGCAGUCCUGCACUGCAAAUCCUUCUUCUGACCUGAGUAUCGGAGCAAAAGACUAAUUGACCCAUCUAGUAGCUGGUUUCCUCUGAAGUUUCCCUCAGGUGCUCAUAACCCCCAAUUUUAUCCGGACAAUCAAAUAAUUAGAGGUCUUGAGGCCAAAACGAUCUCUACCUAUUCCCAAACUUUAAAUUACUAAAGAGACUGGCUCAUUGGCGGAGAGCCGGGCUGCAAAUGAGAGUGCCCAUUGGAACACUUUUGGUAAGAAGAACUUAUUCUGUGGGAUGAACCAUAAGACGGGUUAAGGUGCUACAUACCAAUGCUCAUCAGACCCCAGAAAAGUUGUGGGUUGUUUUUGGCAGCAGGACGGUGGCCAUGGAAGUCAUUGAUCCAAUAAGAAGUGUGUACCUACUCAUCUGCUGAAUCAAAUAGCACUGAAAAUGGAUGGCACUGGAGUGUCAGGCCAAUACCCAGCUGCAGCUAGGGCUAUGCUGUAAUGAGUAGGAGGGCUACUGCGUUGCCAACGGACACCCAGGCAAGGGCCUGGGUGGAGCCACGCCAUGUGAAUAACUUGAUGUUAGUAGCAAAUAAUCAAAUGAGAUUUUUGAAGGCUGAAGUGGAGAAGGGUUUCAUGCGAACACCAGUUGAACAUGGGUCAGUUGGUCCUAGGAAAUGGGCGAGCGCCGUUUGGAAAGGACAGGUGAUGGCCUCCGUUGCUCUCAGCUGAUCAAAAGGAAGUCAGAUUCAUCUCCCUGAACCAGGAGUGGUGGAUAUGGGCGGCCUCACAGGUUCCAGUUCGGUAAAGCAAAUAAUCCCAGAAAAGCUGGCAAGAGCACUGUGGAGAGUUCUCUUUUCGUGGCAAAGGAAGAGCACCCUGAAAUGUAUUCACCCCGAGAGAAGGGUCUGAGCAUUGGAAAGCGGGAUGGUUCUGGCAGUGUCUGGUGAGGCUCUCGCUGGUCCUGGAAGAUCCAGGAGAGUCGUACCCAUAUCCGCGGCAGGCAUUCAAGGUGAACAGCCUCUUGCAUGUUGGAACAAUGUAGUAAGGUAAGUCGGCAAGUCAGACCAGUACCUUUGGGAUAAGGAUUGGAUGUAAGGGCUGUGGUGUGAAACAAGGCUGUGCAGGUGCUGCGGCUGGACGAUACAUCUUCCACCGGGGGACGGCACUGAAUCUGGAUGCAUGCAGGUCCCUUCCUGUGGAUCACUUUUGCUUCUGGCUCCAAGUGCAGAGUGCCUGCAGGGCGCGACCCGCUCUGGGGACAGUGGCAGGUGGGGAAUUUGACUAGGGUGGUACACCUGUCAAACGAUAAUGCAGAUGUCCUAAGGCAAGCUCAGAGAGGGCAUACACAUCCAGAGGAGAAGAAGGGCAACAUCUCCCUUGAUCCCAAUUUGCAGUAUGAAUAAAGACUGUGAAAGCAGGGGCUCAAGAUCCAUCUGACUUUUUGGGUUUCAAUGUUACGCUCACCUGGUAUCCACGGGGAUGCCACCCAGCUGUGGGGACUCUGGUACCCUUCUCUGCCGCUCCCAGGGAUAAUCAGCAGAGAAGUUCUGCCUUGUUAUGGGUUUUGGCGUGCUCUCCGUCCUGCCUUCUUGGCAGGGGCGCGUUGUCCUUUGUGGGCGAGUGCGAUCUAGUUACUUCACUGAUGCAGGCCCUUUAGAGUCUUUCAGGUAGGUCUUAUUACUGUUAUACUGUAUGUCUUUCUUGGAUUUCAAUAAUGUCUUUUCUCUCUCCUUAGGUGCUCGGAAGUUCGCUGUGGAACAUUGGCUGAAUUGGGACUCGCCGGCAGGUGAUGGUGCUUCGAGAGCACCUUGAUGCGGUAAGUAGGCGCUAUGCGCAGCGCUAUGAUGCCUUGCCUUUGCUAACCUGUUGUCUUGUGUUCCCGUAGGUUGCGGUGCUCACCCGGAACAAAGUCCCAAGGAGAUGCUGGUCGAUGGGCGACUCGUGAGGUAAGCUGCCGGCACAAUUAUAAAAUGUCUAAUGUCCUUUUUCUCUCCCUUUUGCAGAUCCGAUGGUCUGGGAGGCUCGGUGUUCCUUGGAUGCUGGUUGCAGGAGCGGAGGGCAUCUUGCGGUGGAAUCACAGGUAAGCUGCUGCUAUUAACGAUGUCCUUUUGAUU
This 2706-nucleotide ribosomal RNA is filed under the name Ambystoma mexicanum (axolotl). RNAcentral describes it as "eukaryotic LSU rRNA". The stretch from base 116 to 2172 matches the Rfam family "Eukaryotic large subunit ribosomal RNA". The record is from RNAcentral. Lineage: Eukaryota; Metazoa; Chordata; Amphibia; Caudata; Ambystomatidae.